This 159-nucleotide non-coding RNA is filed under the name uncultured Prevotella sp. Lineage: Bacteria; Pseudomonadati; Bacteroidota; Bacteroidia; Bacteroidales; Prevotellaceae. The record is from RNAcentral.
AAUCAAGGUUCGCUUAAUCGCGAUCAAAAGGGAAUGUGAGUGAGAAUCUCCGACUGUCCCGCAGCUGUGAGUUCCUUUAUAAGUCCUAAACAGAGUCCACUGCCUCUUUGGGCGGGAAGGCGUUUGGGAAUGGAACAAAGUCAGAAGACCUGCCUUGAG